GACUAAAGCCAGACUGCUAUUAGUUAAGCAUUACAUCAGCGAUUAAAAGUCUUUUGGGGUGUGGAAUCGGGCAGCGUCACUGGAGCUGAGAGCCAAUCUGUGAGGGCUCCUAGGGCAGGCACAUUCGUCCCUCACUGCUAUUGCAACUUUGGCCCAUGCUGCCCCAUAUUAGUGCCUGCUGCAGUUUUAAGAACAUCAGAACCCAUCGGUCAACCUCCAGGGAGGCACCCCUCUCCCUGGUUGCUUAGGGCCGAAAACCCCGACCCUCAUGUUUUUAAAGAGAAUUGGAAUCCUAUGUGAAUAAGGUGGGAAAACUGGAAAGAUUGAAUGUCCUUUGGAGUUCACAGAGGUUUGGCAGUGGGAGGAGAAAAACAAAACGAAGCAUAGUGGGAGUGUUGAACAGACUUUCCCAAGAUCCCCAGGAAAAGCAAAGCUACUACAAGAACUCACUACAUCAAUGCGUGUUCAUUAUUGAGACCAUCCUAGGAGAGCGUGCAUCAUCACAGGCUGCUCUGAGGUCUGUGCCCAAUCAAGCAAAGAACAACGGGGAUAAUCACACUGUGCAGAGGGUGACCAAUUUAGAAAAAAAGGACCCUUAAGAAGAUCUUCCAACUUCCUUAAAUGACUUUCAUUAAUUUUACACCUUUUGCCAAUUAAUUGCACUUAUGAGCCUUCCUUGUCAAUUACUGCAUUCUCAUUUUCGGCAAUUGAACUAAUCUUGGCCUAUUCAUAUUUUGUUUUUUAAAUAGGUAUUUCCAAUUAUUGAUAUAGAUCUUUAUAAUUACAUUACAAAUGUUUCACCAUAUUUAUUCAUUCUUUAUAGAGACAAAAUAAAGGUUCUAUCAUCUACACUUAAAACAUGUACUUUUUUCUUCACAGCAAAACUUACAAUAUUCUCCUUAUUUGGUGAUUACUUUAAAACAAAUAUAUUCCAUUUAAAAUAUAAGCUCAAUAACUACAGAUACAUGUAUGUGUGUGUGUGUAUAUAUAUAC
Molecule: long non-coding RNA, 993 nt
Filed under: Pan troglodytes (chimpanzee)
Lineage: Eukaryota; Metazoa; Chordata; Mammalia; Primates; Hominidae
Description: lncRNA (ENSPTRG00000053355.1)
Source: RNAcentral